CAGCAGCCGCGGGAAUACGUAGGGUGCGAGCGUUAAUCGGAAUUACUGGGCGUAAAGCGUGCGCAGGCGGUUCGUUAAGUCUGUUGUGAAAGCCCCGGGCUCAACCUGGGAAUGGCAGUGGAUACUGGCUCGCUAGAGUGUGUCAGAGGAUGGUGGAAUUCCCGGUGUAGCGGUGAAAUGCGUAGAGAUCGGGAGGAACAUCAGUGGCGAAGGCGGCCAUCUGGGACAACACUGACGCUGAGGCACGAAAGCGUGGGGAGCAAACAGGAUUAGAUACCCCCGUAGUCCCUGUCUCUUAUAC
RNAcentral lists this ribosomal RNA (301 nucleotides) under uncultured bacterium. RNAcentral's name for it is "partial 16S ribosomal RNA". It matches the Rfam family "Bacterial small subunit ribosomal RNA", at positions 509 to 807 of the family's 1533-position model. The record is from RNAcentral.